UAGUCCACGCCGUAAACGAUGGGUACUAGUUGUCGCGGGUUUAACCCUUGCGGUGACACAGCUAACGCGUUAAGUACCCCGCCUGGGGAGUACGGUCGCAAGACUAAAACUCAAAGGAAUUGACGGGGGCCCGCACAAGCGGUGGAUCAUGUGGUUUAAUUCGAAGCAACGCGAAAAACCUUACCUGGACUUGAAAUCCUACGAACUAAGCAGAGAUGCUAAGGUGCUCUUCGGAGAACGUAGUGACAGGUGCUGCAUGGCUGUCGUCAGCUCGUGUUGUGAAAUGUUGGGUUAAGUCUGGCAACGAGCGCAACCCACAUCUUUAGUUGCCAGCAGGUUAAGCUGGGCACUCUAAAGAAACUGCCCGUGAUAAGCGGGAGGAAGGUGUGGAUGACGUCAAGUCCUCAUGGCCCUUACGGGUUGGGCUACACACGUGCUACAAUGGCAUCUACAGUGAGUUAAUCUCCAAAAGAUGUCUCAGUUCGGAUUGGGGUCUGCAACUCGACCCCAUGAAGUCGG
This 519-nucleotide ribosomal RNA is filed under the name uncultured bacterium. RNAcentral describes it as "bacterial SSU rRNA". It matches the Rfam family "Bacterial small subunit ribosomal RNA", at positions 791 to 1329 of the family's 1533-position model. The record is from RNAcentral.